UGGGCGCAGCCUGAUGCAGCCAUGCCGCGUGUGUGAAGAAGGCCUUCGGGUUGUAAAGCACUUUCAGUCGUGAGGAAGGCGGUACAGUUAAUAGCUGUAUUGUUUGACGUUAGCGACAGAAGAAGCACCGGCUAACUCCGUGCCAGCAGCCGCGGUAAUACGGAGGGUGCGAGCGUUAAUCGGAAUUACUGGGCGUAAAGCGCAUGCAGGUGGUUUGUUAAGUCAGAUGUGAAAGCCCGGGGCUCAACCUCGGAAUAGCAUUUGAAACUGGCAGACUAGAGUACUGUAGAGGGGGGUAGAAUUUCAGGUGUAGCGGUGAAAUGCGUAGAGAUCUGAAGGAAUACCGGUGGCGAAGGCGGCCCCCUGGACAGAUACUGACACUCAGAUGCGAAAGCGUGGGGAGCAAACAGGAUUAGAUACCCUGGUAGUCCACGCCGUAAACGAUGUCUACUUGGAGGUUGUGGCCUUGAGCCGUGGCUUUCGGAGCUAACGCGUUAAGUAGACCGCCUGGGGAGUACGGUCGCAAGAUUAAAACUCAAAUGAAUUGACGGGGGCCCGCACAAGCGGUGGAGCAUGUGGUUUAAUUCGAUGCAACGCGAAGAACCUUACCUACUCUUGACAUCCAGAGAAGCCAGCGGAGACGCAGGUGUGCCUUCGGGAGCUCUGAGACAGGUGCUGCAUGGCUGUCGUCAGCUCGUGUUGUGAAAUGUUGGGUUAAGUCCCGCAACGAGCGCAACCCUUAUCCUUGUUUGCCAGCGAGUAAUGUCGGGAACUCCAGGGAGACUGCCGGUGAUAAACCGGAGGAAGGU
This 809-nucleotide ribosomal RNA is filed under the name uncultured Vibrio sp. Its description in RNAcentral is "bacterial SSU rRNA". It matches the Rfam family "Bacterial small subunit ribosomal RNA", at positions 372 to 1174 of the family's 1533-position model. The record is from RNAcentral. Lineage: Bacteria; Pseudomonadati; Pseudomonadota; Gammaproteobacteria; Vibrionales; Vibrionaceae.